CGUGCACCAGUGGGGUCCCUUAGCCAGGCCUGCACCCUCUCACAAUCUGGAAACCCUCAGGGGAUGUUGGAGAGCCAGUUUUGGCCCAAUCCCGCAGGCCAGGCUGAGGGACCCCACUGGUGCACU
RNAcentral lists this microRNA precursor (126 nucleotides) under Myotis davidii. RNAcentral's name for it is "mir-9193 microRNA precursor family". It matches the Rfam family "mir-9193 microRNA precursor family". The record is from Rfam by way of RNAcentral. Lineage: Eukaryota; Metazoa; Chordata; Mammalia; Chiroptera; Vespertilionidae.